Antechinus flavipes (yellow-footed antechinus) is the source of this 765-nucleotide long non-coding RNA. RefSeq lists it as uncharacterized. NCBI's taxonomy places the organism in Eukaryota, Metazoa, Chordata, Mammalia, Dasyuromorphia, Dasyuridae. The record is from RefSeq and is a predicted model, not a curated record. The transcript is spliced from 3 exons.
CACAUAUUGUACUUAUGCAGGUCAUAGGGAAACACAGGAAUAAUGAAAAUAAAAAGAAUUCAUAUAUUACUUAUGAUGAAUAUGGAAAUAUAUUAAAGAAUUGAACAUGGUUAACCUAUCUUGGAUUGCUUGAUGUCUUGGGGAAGGAGGAGAGAAGGAGAAAAAUUUGGAACUCAAGACUUUGCAGUGGUUUUUAAAAACUAUCUUGCUUGGAUGAUCUCAGAGAGGCCUGGAGAGACUUACAUGAACUGAUGUUAAGUAAAAUGAGCAGAACCAAGAGAUCAUUGUGACAACAGAGAGAUUACACAACAAUCAAUUCUGAUGGAGGUGACUCUUCUCAACAAUGAGAUGAUUCAAAUCAGUUCCAAUGAUCUGUGAGGAAGAGAGCCUUCUCACCCAGAGAGAGGACUGUGAGAACUGAGGGUGGUUCACAACACAGUAUUUUCACUCUUUUUGUUGUUUGCUUGCAUUUUGUUUUCUUUAUCAUUUUUUUCCCUUUUUGAUCUAAUUUCUUUUGUGCAGCAUGGUAAUUGUGGAAAUAUGUAUAGAAGAAUUGCAAAUGUUUAAAAUAUAUUGAUUAUUUGCUGUCAAGGGAAGGAGUGGGGGGGAAGGGAGGGAAAAUUUUGGAAUACAAGAUUUUGCAAGGGUGAAUGUUGAAAAUUAUGUACAUGUUUUGAAAAUAAAAAGCUUUAAUUAAAAACAAAACAAAACAAAAAACUAUCCAGCUCAUCAUUUCUCAUAUUACAUAAGAUGGAAUUACUUUUU